This 468-nucleotide ribosomal RNA is filed under the name uncultured bacterium. RNAcentral describes it as "partial 16S ribosomal RNA". It matches the Rfam family "Bacterial small subunit ribosomal RNA", at positions 28 to 507 of the family's 1533-position model. The record is from RNAcentral.
GACGAACGCUGGCGGCGUGCUUAACACAUGCAAGUCGAACGGAAAGGCCCUGCUUUUGUGGGGUGCUCGAGUGGCGAACGGGUGAGUAACACGUGAGUAACCUGCCCUUGACUUUGGGAUAACUUCAGGAAACUGGGGCUAAUACCGGAUAGGAGCUCCUGCUGCAUGGGGGGGGUUGGAAAGUUUCGGCGGUUGGGGAUGGACUCGCGGCUUAUCAGCUUGUUGGGGGGGUAGUGGCUUACCAAGGCUUUGACGGGUAGCCGGCCUGAGAGGGUGACCGGCCACAUUGGGCCUGAGAUACGGCCCAGACUCCUACGGGAGGCAGCAGUGGGGAAUAUUGCACAAUGGGCGGAAGCCUGAUGCAGCAACGCCGCGUGCGUGAUGACGGCCUUCGGGUUGUAAACCGCUUUCGCCUGUGACGAAGCGUGAGUGACGGUAAUGGGUAAAGAAGCACCGGCUAACUACGUG